ACGGGAGGCAGCAGUGGGGAAUAUUGCACAAUGGGGGAAACCCUGAUGCAGCGACGCCGCGUGAGUGAAGAAGUAUUUCGGUAUGUAAAGCUCUAUCAGCAGGGAAGAUGAUGACGGUACCUGACUAAGAAGCCCCGGCUAACUACGUGCCAGCAGCCGCGGUAAUACGUAGGGGGCAAGCGUUAUCCGGAUUUACUGGGUGUAAAGGGAGCGUAGGCGGCGAUGCAAGUCAGAGGUGAAAACCCGGGGCUCAACUCCGAGGACUGCCUUUGAAACUGCGUUGCUAGAGUGCAGGAGAGGCAAGCGGAAUUCCUAGUGUAGCGGUGAAAUGCGUAGAUAUUAGGAAGAACACCGGUGGCGAAGGCGGCUUGCUGGACUGAGACUGACGCUGAGGCUCGAAAGCGUGGGGAGCAAACAGGAUUAGAUACCCUGGUA
RNAcentral lists this ribosomal RNA (435 nucleotides) under uncultured Coprococcus sp. Its description in RNAcentral is "partial 16S ribosomal RNA". It matches the Rfam family "Bacterial small subunit ribosomal RNA", at positions 341 to 792 of the family's 1533-position model. Lineage: Bacteria; Bacillati; Bacillota; Clostridia; Lachnospirales; Lachnospiraceae. The record is from RNAcentral.